UACGUAGGCAGCAAGCGUUGUUCGGAAUUACUGGGCGUAAAGAGUGUGUAGGCGGUGCUCUAAGUCUGUUGUGAAAUCUCCCGGCUUAACUGGGAGGGUGCAGCGGAAACUGGAAUGCUCGAGUAUGGGAGAGGUAAGCGGAAUUCCUGGUGUAGCGGUGAAAUGCGUAGAUAUCAGGAGGAACACCUGUGGUGUAGACAGCUUACUGGACCAUCACUGACGCUGAGACACGAAAGCGUGGGUAGCAAACAGG
Molecule: ribosomal RNA, 253 nt
Filed under: uncultured bacterium
Lineage: Bacteria
Description: partial 16S ribosomal RNA
Rfam family: Bacterial small subunit ribosomal RNA
Source: RNAcentral